GGCUGUCUGACCCUCUGGUUGCAAGCCGGAGUUUGCUUUACAGCGGCAGCCU
RNAcentral lists this transfer RNA (52 nucleotides) under Portunion sp. RNAcentral's name for it is "tRNA-Cys". Lineage: Eukaryota; Metazoa; Arthropoda; Malacostraca; Isopoda; Entoniscidae. The record is from RNAcentral.